Molecule: non-coding RNA, 28 nt
Filed under: Homo sapiens (human)
Lineage: Eukaryota; Metazoa; Chordata; Mammalia; Primates; Hominidae
Source: RNAcentral
UGAGGAGAACACACUCUCCGUGGACUGC